CCCCUUUAUGAGGCGGACCAAAGCGCCUAUAUCCAACGUGUCCCCUCGGGGACUAUGGCGAUAAACGCGCGUGUAAUAAGCGGUUCGGACCCGGGGGCGGUACCCGGCGGCUCCACCAAUCAUCCUCCGGUCAUUGGGCGGACUGGUAUGGGGCCGAAACAGGAUCGACGGACGUGUAAAGACGAUGCUUUCGCCCGGCCGAGCUCCGUUAGAAGCUCAUCUCAACAUAGUUGCCAAUGACAACUUUGCUGAAGGUGAACUGAUGGCCGCGUAAGCGGUCGGUAAGUGAACCGAACUUAACUCCUGGGGCUUCAGCGCCUCAGGCGGGGCCCGGAGGCGCCUGGCAACAGAAGCCUCCACC
This 361-nucleotide transfer-messenger RNA is filed under the name Henriciella mobilis. Its description in RNAcentral is "Alphaproteobacteria transfer-messenger RNA". It matches the Rfam family "Alphaproteobacteria transfer-messenger RNA". From Rfam's summary of the family: Bacterial tmRNA, also known as 10Sa RNA or SsrA, is named for its dual tRNA and mRNA-like properties. The record is from Rfam by way of RNAcentral. Lineage: Bacteria; Pseudomonadati; Pseudomonadota; Alphaproteobacteria; Hyphomonadales; Hyphomonadaceae.